CCUACGGGGGGCAGCAGUGAGGAAUAUUGGUCAAUGGACGAGAGUCUGAACCAGCCAAGUAGCGUGAAGUAUGACUGCCCUAUGGGUUGUAACCUUCUUUUAUAAAGGAAUAAAACGAGGCACGUGUGCCUUUUUGCAUGUACUUUAUGAAUAAGGAUCGGCUAACUCCGUGCCAGCAGCCGCGGUAAUACGGAGGAUCCGAGCGUUAUCCGGAUUUAUUGGGUUUAAAGGGAGCGUAGAUGGGUUGUUAAGUCAGUUGUGAAAGUUUGCGGCUCAACCGUAAAAUUGCAAUUGAUACUGGCAGUCUUGAGUACAGUUGAGGUAAGCGGAAUUCGUGGUGUAGCGGUGAAAUGCUUAGAUAUCACGAAGAACCCCGAUUGCGAAGGCAGCUUACUAAACUGUGACUGACAUUGAUGCUCGAAAGUGUGGGUAUCAAACAGGAUUAGAUACCCGGGUAGUC
Molecule: ribosomal RNA, 460 nt
Filed under: uncultured bacterium
Lineage: Bacteria
Description: partial 16S ribosomal RNA
Rfam family: Bacterial small subunit ribosomal RNA
Source: RNAcentral